ACUACAACGGCCUUAUCUGCUAUUUAUACUCCCAAAACAGAGAUCGCGCAGCACAAUACUAUAACUAGGCCGUCGCAAAGUUCAGAUGACAUGGAAGCGGAAGUCGAAUGCAUUUGCAGCGGACUAUAUUUAAAAUCAGAUUACAGAAUGGACCAGCAGAUUUCUACAGUAAACGCUAGUAAAAACCAAACAACCAUCCCGUCCGAAAUGAUGCUGGUGUGUCAAGCGUAACAUUAUAAGUAAUCCCGGCUACGUUUCCUCGUAAUCCUCAUCUUCUACUGCGUCAUGGCCGGUAACUUGGACAACUGUACAACGUCAC
This is a long non-coding RNA of Ylistrum balloti, 319 nucleotides long. RefSeq lists it as uncharacterized. NCBI's taxonomy places the organism in Eukaryota, Metazoa, Mollusca, Bivalvia, Pectinida, Pectinidae. The record is from RefSeq and is a predicted model, not a curated record. The transcript is spliced from 3 exons.